RNAcentral lists this ribosomal RNA (465 nucleotides) under Vreelandella stevensii. Its description in RNAcentral is "partial 16S ribosomal RNA". It matches the Rfam family "Bacterial small subunit ribosomal RNA", at positions 338 to 795 of the family's 1533-position model. Lineage: Bacteria; Pseudomonadati; Pseudomonadota; Gammaproteobacteria; Oceanospirillales; Halomonadaceae. The record is from RNAcentral.
CCUACGGGGAGCUGCAGUGGGGAAUAUUGGACAAUGGGCGAAAGCCUGAUCCAGCCAUGCCGCGUGUGUGAAGAAGGCCUUCGGGUUGUAAAGCACUUUCAGUGGGGAAGAAAGCCUUGGGGCUAAUACCCUCGAGGAAGGACAUCACCCACAGAAGAAGCACCGGCUAACUCCGUGCCAGCAGCCGCGGUAAUACGGAGGGUGCGAGCGUUAAUCGGAAUUACUGGGCGUAAAGCGCGCGUAGGCGGUCUGAUAAGCCGGUUGUGAAAGCCCCGGGCUCAACCUGGGAACGGCAUCCGGAACUGUCAGGCUAGAGUGCAGGAGAGGAAGGUAGAAUUCCCGGUGUAGCGGUGAAAUGCGUAGAGAUCGGGAGGAAUACCAGUGGCGAAGGCGGCCUUCUGGACUGACACUGACGCUGAGGUGCGAAAGCGUGGGUAGCAAACAGGAUUAGAUACCCCGGUAGUC